CCAAUAGCGUAUAUUAAAGUUGUUGCAGUUAAAAAGCUCGUAGUUGAAUUUCGGGGUUCUUCCAUUGGUCAGGCUAACAAGUCUGUACUAGCGUGUAGAAUCUCUACCUUCUGGGGAACCAUCAUAUUAUUAAUUUAGCGUGGUGGGAAACCAGGACCUUUACCUUGAAAAAAUUAGAGUGUUCAAAGCAGGCUUACGUCUGAAUACAUUAGCAUGGAAUAAUAAAAUAGGACGGUGGUCCUGUUUUGUUGGUUUCUGAAUCACCGUAAUGAUUAAUAGGGAUAGUUGGGGGCAUUAGUAUUCAAUUGUCAGAGGUGAAAUUCUUGGAUUUAUUGAAGACUAACUUCUGCGAAAGCAUUUGCCAAGGAUGUUUUCAUUAAUCAAGAACGAAAGUUAGGGGAUCGAAGACGAUCAGAUACCGUCGUAGUCUUAACCAUAAACUAUGCCGACUAGGGAUCGGACGAUGUUAAAUUUUAUUGACUCGUUCGGCGCCUUACG
This 498-nucleotide ribosomal RNA is filed under the name uncultured Glomeromycotina. RNAcentral describes it as "partial small subunit ribosomal RNA". It matches the Rfam family "Eukaryotic small subunit ribosomal RNA", at positions 591 to 1092 of the family's 1831-position model. The record is from RNAcentral. Lineage: Eukaryota; Fungi; Glomeromycota.